Molecule: long non-coding RNA, 275 nt
Filed under: Carica papaya (papaya)
Lineage: Eukaryota; Viridiplantae; Streptophyta; Magnoliopsida; Brassicales; Caricaceae
Description: long non-coding RNA (CPAP_LNC008565)
Source: RNAcentral
GUUCUACCGCGUCUUGUUACCGGAGCCUGAGUCACUGACCUAGGUCUCUUGUUCUGUUAAAUAAGUGCAGGGGGUGCUGUUCUGCAGUGUGAAACUGGAGGUCUGGGAUUCUCCACUAUUGGAGGAAAGAUGCGAAGGUUUCUCUCCACUAGUUGUGCCUUGGCCAGAACGGCUUAGUAAGUACUAAGCUCAAAUACGUACAAUUACUAUUUAAUCUCAGGACGGAGGCCCCAUUCGAACUUACUUGCUUUCCUGCCUUCAUCCAUCAUGCUCUC